This 564-nucleotide ribosomal RNA is filed under the name Triticum aestivum (bread wheat). RNAcentral's name for it is "partial small subunit ribosomal RNA". Lineage: Eukaryota; Viridiplantae; Streptophyta; Magnoliopsida; Poales; Poaceae. The record is from RNAcentral.
AUGUACAUAGCACCCCACAACAGCCACCAUCACCCAACACCACGCCACCCCAAGCCUCGCGAGACCGCCAAGGCAACCAACACCAGCUUCCAGUCCAGUAGACACCACGAGCACUCAGGCAACAAUUCCAAGGAAGGGACGAUGUCGUGCCGCCACUCCCAGGUCCGGCGAAGCGGGCCUAGGGGAUGGUCAAGGUCUCCAGGGAGGAGACGACGCCAGCCACGCAGGAAUUUUGUCGGAGCACCUUGUAACAACCGCACCGCCGCGAAGCAAAGCACGUCUUCUAUCAGAAAGCAUAUGUCCAAGCCAAGCUUAGUUUCUGAGUCAAAGGAUGUCUUCAAUCAGAAAGCCAGUAACAAGUAUUGGAUUGAUGUGCAACUAAGAUGGGGAGACUACGAUUCACACGGCAUAAAACGUUACACAAGAACAAAAUUUAUGGACUACACGACAGAUAAUAUGUCCAUCUACCCUUCUCUGACUGGUAUGACUGCCAUUUUCUUGCCUUGUCUGAGUCUUCUGUGCUUAAUGUUCAUUAAUUUUUCUUUUGGGGGUGAUGAUCACUGA